Molecule: ribosomal RNA, 253 nt
Filed under: uncultured bacterium
Lineage: Bacteria
Description: partial 16S ribosomal RNA
Rfam family: Bacterial small subunit ribosomal RNA
Source: RNAcentral
UACAGAGGGUGCGAGCGUUAAUCGGAAUCACUGGGCAUAAAGAGCACGUAGGCUGCGCGCUAAGUCAGGUGUGAAAUCCCCCGGCUCAACCGGGGAACUGCACCUGAUACUGGCGUGCUCGAGGACGGUAGGGGUGAGUGGAACUCCAGGUGGAGCGGUGAAAUGCGUAGAGAUGUGGAGGAACACCAGUGGCGAAGGCGGAUCUCUGGGCCAUUACUGACGCUGAGGAGCGAAAGCGUGGGGAGCGAACAGG